RNAcentral lists this ribosomal RNA (394 nucleotides) under uncultured bacterium. RNAcentral's name for it is "partial 16S ribosomal RNA". It matches the Rfam family "Bacterial small subunit ribosomal RNA", at positions 523 to 918 of the family's 1533-position model. The record is from RNAcentral.
AUACGCAGGGAGCGAGCGUUGUCCGGAAUUACUGGGCGUAAAGGGCGCGUAGGCGGCGCUUCAAGUCGUCUGUCAAAUGGGAGGGCUUAACCCUUUUUCGCAGACGAAACUGGAGAGCUUGAGAAGCAGAGAGGCAAACAGAAUUCCUGGUGUAGCGGUGAAAUGCGUAGAUAUCAGGAAGAAUACCAGUGGCGAAGGCGGUUUGCUGGCUGCAUACUGACGCUGAAGCGCGAAAGCCAGGGGAGCGAACGGGAUUAGAUACCCCGGUAGUCCUGGCAGUAAACGAUGUAUGCUGGGUGUGAGACUAGCGAUAGUUUCGUGCCGAAGUUAACGCGAUAAGCAUACCGCCUGGGGAGUACGGUCGCAAGAUUGAAACUCAAAUGAAUUGACGGGG